This 491-nucleotide ribosomal RNA is filed under the name uncultured bacterium. Its description in RNAcentral is "bacterial SSU rRNA". It matches the Rfam family "Bacterial small subunit ribosomal RNA", at positions 30 to 515 of the family's 1533-position model. The record is from RNAcentral.
AUUGAACGCUGGCGGCAUGCCUUACACAUGCAAGUCGAACGGUAACAGGGAGCUUGCUCCGCUGACGAGUGGCGAACGGGUGAGUAAUGUAUCGGAACGUACCAUUCAGUGGGGGAUAACGUAGCGAAAGUUACGCUAAUACCGCAUAUUCUGUGAGCAGGAAAGCAGGGGAUCGCAAGACCUUGCGCUGAUUGAGCGGCCGAUAUCAGAUUAGCUAGUUGGUGAGGUAAAGGCUCACCAAGGCGACGAUCUGUAGCGGGUCUGAGAGGAUGAUCCGCCACACUGGAACUGAGACACGGUCCAGACUCCUACGGGAGGCAGCAGUGGGGAAUUUUGGACAAUGGGGGCAACCCUGAUCCAGCCAUGCCGCGUGAGUGAAGAAGGCCUUCGGGUUGUAAAGCUCUUUUGUUGGGGUAAGAAAGCAGUUGGUUAAUACCCGAUUGUUCUGACGGUACCCAAGAAUAAGCACCGGCUAACUUCGUGCCAGCACG